This 253-nucleotide ribosomal RNA is filed under the name uncultured bacterium. RNAcentral describes it as "partial 16S ribosomal RNA". It matches the Rfam family "Bacterial small subunit ribosomal RNA", at positions 524 to 776 of the family's 1533-position model. The record is from RNAcentral.
UACGAAGGGGGCUAGCGUUGCUCGGAAUCACUGGGCGUAAAGGGUGCGUAGGCGGGUUUUUAAGUCAGAGGUGAAAUCCUGGAGCUCAACUCCAGAACUGCCUUUGAUACUGAAAGUCUUGAGUGUGGGAGAGGUGAGUGGAACUGCGAGUGUAGAGGUGAAAUUCGUAGAUAUUCGCAAGAACACCAGUGGCGAAGGCGGCUCACUGGCCCAUUACUGACGCUGAGGCACGAAAGCGUGGGGAGCAAACAGG